GUGCCUUGCACCUAGGCUCCAAGAACCCUUGGAACCUUAGUGCGCCUUUAGCAUUUAAUAACUAUGGUUACAAUCAGACACUUGAUUUCAACAUUGAAAACUUUCUGAUAAGUUUUUAAUAAAGACGAUGCAUUGGAAUAACUACUCAAAUCAUCAAACAAAAAUUAUAUGGUAUCAUAUGCAAGCAGUAAAUGAGAAACUAGUAUAAUAACUAAGUCUAAGAAUUCUUGAAUUACAUAGACACAUGCGUAGAUCUUUACAAGUCCUAAUAAACCUACAAUUCCAGAAAAGCAAAAAAACUCUCUCCGAUAGAAGGAUUCAUAAAGCUUUAAGAACUAGGAACACAAGUCGAAUUUAAACGCUAUUAGAUCAUAAAAUAUCCCAAACAAAGCAGAAAAUCAUUAAAAAUCUCCAACCUGAUGAAACAUAAGAACAGAGAUAAAUAGGGCCAUAUCAAUAUGAAUAACCUAAUGAUCAUCAAGUAAACUUUUCCUUAAAAUUAAAACGUAAAAUUAAAACGUCUUCUAUGAUGGCAUUGGAUAAAUAGCUUGAACCCUGGUUUCAAAAUUGGAUACCUCCUAAACCAAGCAAUGUCUGCACCAUCAUACAAAAAUUGAAAUUCAAUAUGAUGACAAAUUCAUAAUCACAGGAAGGAAAAGUUCAAAUCUUAAGCGCAAGAAGAGUGAGAAGGACCUUUUCAACGAUGGACAUUGCUUCUUCCGUCGCACUUUUUUUUCCUGUUGAUGGAGCAGGUAACGAGGAAGCCAGAGUAAAAGCGCUGAAGUAGCGCAGAAGGUACUGUGUAAUCGAAGCAAGGUAUGCUUAUGAGUUAUGACGGCUGCGUGUUGCUCCCAUGGCUUCCCUGUUCCUCCGACGGUGCUUUGUAAUCGAAGCACUUCUUCCGUGCUGCUGCUUCAUUUUCAUUUUCCGAUCGCUCCG
RNAcentral lists this unclassified non-coding RNA (939 nucleotides) under Hevea brasiliensis (rubber tree). Lineage: Eukaryota; Viridiplantae; Streptophyta; Magnoliopsida; Malpighiales; Euphorbiaceae. The record is from RNAcentral.